AGAGCAGGCUGACAGCAGAAUGACCAGGCACCAAGCUCUCCGUUCCACUAGCCUCUCUGGGCCAGGCCUGUGGAGUCUCCAGAGGAAACAGGCAGGUGAUCUUGAUCCUGACGAAGUACUACCACGCAGACAUGGGGAAGGUUCUGGAAAGUUCUCUGUGGCGGUCGUCAGAUUUCGGGACGUCCUACACCAAGCUCACCCUCCAGCCUGGUGUCACCACCGUCAUCGACAAUUUCUACAUCUGCCCGACCAACAAGAGGAAGGUCAUCCUUGUCAGCUCUUCACUCAGUGACCGGGACCAGAGCCUAUUUCUCAGCGCAGAUGAAGGCGCCACCUUUCAGAAGCACCCCAUUCCCUUCUUCGUGGAAACUCUGAUUUUCCACCCUAAGGAGGAGGACAAGGUCCUCGCCUACACAAAGGAGAGCAAGCUCUACGUGUCGUCUGACUUGGGGAAAAAGUGGACACUUCUGCAAGAGCGAGUGACCAAAGACCACGUGUUCUGGUCUGUGUCUGGGGUGGACGCUGACCCUGA
This 532-nucleotide small RNA is filed under the name Pongo abelii (Sumatran orangutan). RNAcentral describes it as "processed transcript". The record is from RNAcentral. Lineage: Eukaryota; Metazoa; Chordata; Mammalia; Primates; Hominidae.